UUAUACUAGUUGGAACUAAUCUCAUGAAUACCAAACUCACACAUUGGAGGGAGAAGUCAUGACAAUUAUGGAAGCAAUUGAAGUAAAGAUGCAAAGAGGCUUAUUCCAUGUCUUUCUUUAAAGUGACUCAAAAAUUAUGGUUGAUGUUAUGGAGUAUCUUAGUUUAGUAUUUUGAUUUCUCACAUUACGUUUAUUAUCGUUGAAUAACAACUUUGAGGUCAAGUUUGUUAAGGACUUAAUGUGAAGGAAUCAACUCUGAUAGAUUGUUCCUUAAUACGUUGAUUCCUAUUCUAUGUCUAAUCACCGUAUUUUCGAGUUGAUUCCUUGUUGUAUUGAUACUUAUUUGAUUAAUGAAAUGCGUUAAGUUUGCUUUUGUCAAACAAAAAAAAAAAUCCUAUGUGAUUUUUCUUCAAUUUAAUGUAUGUGUGAAC
RNAcentral lists this long non-coding RNA (431 nucleotides) under Trifolium pratense (red clover). RNAcentral describes it as "long non-coding RNA (TPRA_LNC007563)". Lineage: Eukaryota; Viridiplantae; Streptophyta; Magnoliopsida; Fabales; Fabaceae. The record is from RNAcentral.